RNAcentral lists this ribosomal RNA (432 nucleotides) under uncultured bacterium. Its description in RNAcentral is "partial 16S ribosomal RNA". It matches the Rfam family "Bacterial small subunit ribosomal RNA", at positions 29 to 506 of the family's 1533-position model. The record is from RNAcentral.
AACGAACGCUGGCGGCAUGCCUAACACAUGCAAGUCGAACGAGACCUUCGGGUCUAGUGGCGCACGGGUGCGUAACGCGUGGGAACCUGCCCUUAGGUUCGGAAUAACUCCCCGAAAGGGGUGCUAAUCCCGGAUAAUGUCUUCGGACCAAAGUUUUAUCGCCUUUGGAUGGGCCCGCGUUGGAUUAGCUAGUUGGUAGGGUAAAAGCCUACCAAGGCGACGAUCCAUAGCUGGUCUGAGAGGAUGAUCAGCCACACUGGGACUGAGACACGGCCCAGACUCCUACGGGAGGCAGCAGUGGGGAAUAUUGGACAAUGGGCGAAAGCCUGAUCCAGCAAUGCCGCGUGAGUGAUGAAGGCCUUAGGGUUGUAAAGCUCUUUUACCCGGGAUGAUAAUGACAGUACCGGGAGAAUAAGCUCCGGCUAACUCCGU